This 395-nucleotide ribosomal RNA is filed under the name uncultured bacterium. RNAcentral describes it as "bacterial SSU rRNA". It matches the Rfam family "Bacterial small subunit ribosomal RNA", at positions 971 to 1425 of the family's 1533-position model. The record is from RNAcentral.
UUACCAGCUUGACAUGAAGGAGACUCCCUUCGGAACAGGUGCUGCAUGGCUGUCGUCAGCUCGUGUCGUGAGAUGCUCGGUUAAGUCCGGCAACGAGCGCAACCCUGUCUCAGUUGCCAGCAUAUGGGACUCUGAGAUACUGCCCCGGUUAAGGGGAGGAAGGUGGGGAUGACGUCAAGUCCUCAUGGCCCUUAUGCUGGGCUACACACGUGCUACAAUGGGGUACAAGAGGCACAGCGAUGUUAGCAAUCUGUAAACCGCCUCAGUUCGGAUUGGAGUCUGCAACUCGACUCCAUGAAGUUGGAAUCGCUAGUAAUCGCGAUCAGCAUGCGCGGUGAAUACGUUCCCGGGCCUUGUACACACCGCCCGUCACACCAUGAGAGUUGAUGACCGAA